GUGUUUGCUCCGUCAGCACACAUACUGAAAUCGGAAUGAUACAGAGAAGAUGAGUAUGGCUCCUGCGCAAGGAUGACAGGCAAAUUUGUGAAGCGGUCCUUAUUUUU
This is a small nuclear RNA of Loxodonta africana (African savanna elephant), 107 nucleotides long. The record is from Ensembl. NCBI's taxonomy places the organism in Eukaryota, Metazoa, Chordata, Mammalia, Proboscidea, Elephantidae.